AUUGAACGCUGGCGGCAGGCCUAACACAUGCAAGUCGAACGGUAGCACAGAGAGCUUGCUCUCGGGUGACGAGUGGCGGACGGGUGAGUAAUGUCUGGGAAACUGCCUGAUGGAGGGGGAUAACUACUGGAAACGGUAGCUAAUACCGCAUAAUGUCGCAAGACCAAAGAGGGGGACCUUCGGGCCUCUUGCCAUCGGAUGUGCCCAGAUGGGAUUAGCUUGUUGGUGAGGUAAAGGCUCACCAAGGCGACGAUCCCUAGCUGGUCUGAGAGGAUGACCAGCCACACUGGAACUGAGACGCGGUCCAGACUCCUACGGGAGGCAGCAGUGGGGAAUAUUGCCCAAUGGGCGCAAGCCUGAUGCAGCCAGGCCGCGUGUGUGAAGAAGGCCUUCGGGUUGUAAAGCACUUUCAGCGGGGAGGAAGGCGGUGAGUUUAAUAAGCUCACCGAUUGACGUUACCCGCAGAAGAAGCACCGGCUAACUCCGUGCCAGCCGCCGCCGUAA
Molecule: ribosomal RNA, 504 nt
Filed under: uncultured bacterium
Lineage: Bacteria
Description: partial 16S ribosomal RNA
Rfam family: Bacterial small subunit ribosomal RNA
Source: RNAcentral